CCUACGGGAGGCAGCAGUGGGGAAUAUUGCACAAUGGGGGAAACCCUGAUGCAGCGACGCCGCGUGAGUGAAGAAGUAUUUCGGUAUGUAAAGCUCUAUCAGCAGGGAAGAAAAUGACGGUACCUGACUAAGAAGCCCCGGCUAACUACGUGCCAGCAGCCGCGGUAAUGCGGAGGGGGCCAGCGUUAUCCGGAUUUACUGGGUGGAAAGGGAGCGUAGACGGCCAGACAAGUCAGAAGUGAAAGCCCAGGGCCCAACCCUGGGACUGCUUUUGAAACUGCCGGGCUGGAGUGCAGGAGUGGUAAGCGGAAUUCCUGGUGUAGCGGUGAAAUGCGUAGAUAGUAGGAGGAACACCAGUGGCGAAGGCGGCUUACUGGACUGUAACUGACGUUGAGGCUCGAAAGCGUGGGGAGCAAACAGGAUUAGAUACCCCGGUAGUC
This 440-nucleotide ribosomal RNA is filed under the name uncultured bacterium. RNAcentral describes it as "partial 16S ribosomal RNA". It matches the Rfam family "Bacterial small subunit ribosomal RNA", at positions 338 to 795 of the family's 1533-position model. The record is from RNAcentral.